Molecule: long non-coding RNA, 878 nt
Organism: Branchiostoma belcheri (Belcher's lancelet)
Lineage: Eukaryota; Metazoa; Chordata; Leptocardii; Amphioxiformes; Branchiostomatidae
Exons: 3
Source: RefSeq, a predicted model, not a curated record
UUUAAGAUAAGAAAUAAGUAUUUCCCAUUUAAUGUGGACAUCUUUUACUUUAGAUUCAAAGUGGAUCUCCGUUGGGUUCGGAACAGCUGCGGCGCUGAUCUUCGCAUGUCUAGUUGCAGUUUGUUGGCUGAUUCUCAAACGCCGAUGGGUGACUAAAGCGCAAGUACAGCCAUCCGAAACAGCAACGCAUCCAAGUAAAAAGUACAUUUUUGGUGUUGACUUGGAUGAAGAUCAAGGAAGACACCCAACUGCAAAUCAAAUGAAGCUACGUGGAGAUGUCUUUGCCUGGAACAGUGAUUUUAAGUGCGAAUCAAAAGUUUAAAAGGGCUUUUAGGAUGCAAAUUUGAACGGGUUUUACAGGCUACCUGUGUCGCUGAAUUGGGAACGUUUUUAUGUUCGUUUUAAUUACGAUUGUAAUAAACAGUUUUAGUUACUAAAAUUAUAGCAUUAUUGUUCUUGAAUGGAGGUCGGUGUAUCGAAAUCUCUCGUCAUUAUUAGAUGUUUUAAGGUGUAAGUAAAUUGAAAAAUAUACCUAUUGUUUUGACUCUUUUAAAAAUUCUAUAGUUUAAUAUAAGUGGUAUAUAAGUGAUUGUAAAACUUGACACAUAAAAUUAUAGUUUUGAAUAUGGUCAUAUUUUACAACUGAAAACAUUAUUGCCUCCUUAAUUAUGUAUGUCAAACUUUAUUUGAAAUAUGUGUUCUGUGGAUCAUUUCAAGUAACAUUAGAUAAAUGUGGCAAUAGAUCAAUUUUGAUUAUGCAUUUUUCUGUUUCAAGCAGAAUUGUUAUAAUGAUCACGCAAUGCGUUAAGUAGGACUAUAUGUUACGAUUGAAACUUACAAUGUGUGUAUUUCCUGGCAAUUUAGAUUAAAGGAUGCUU